UGGAGUAUAGCCAAGUGGUAAGGCAAUGGUUUUUGAUACCAUCAGCAAAGGUUCGAAUCCUUUUACUCCAU
This 71-nucleotide transfer RNA is filed under the name Gloeochaete wittrockiana. Its description in RNAcentral is "tRNA-Gln". It matches the Rfam family "tRNA". From Rfam's summary of the family: Transfer RNA (tRNA) molecules are approximately 80 nucleotides in length. Their secondary structure includes four short double-helical elements and three loops (D, anti-codon, and T loops). Lineage: Eukaryota; Glaucocystophyceae; Gloeochaetales; Gloeochaetaceae. The record is from RNAcentral.